Molecule: ribosomal RNA, 253 nt
Filed under: uncultured bacterium
Lineage: Bacteria
Description: partial 16S ribosomal RNA
Rfam family: Bacterial small subunit ribosomal RNA
Source: RNAcentral
UACGGAGGGAGCUAGCGUUGUUCGGAAUUACUGGGCGUAAAGCGCACGUAGGCGGCUUUGUAAGUUAGGGGUGAAAGCCCGGAGCUCAACUCCGGAACUGCCAUUGAAACUGUUUAGCUUGAGGACGAGAGAGGUGAGUGGAAUUCCCAGUGUAGAGGUGAAAUUCGUAGAUAUUGGGAAGAACACCGGUGGCGAAGGCGGCUCACUGGCUCGUUUCUGACGCUCAGGCGCGAUAGCGUGGGGAUCAAACAGG